This 196-nucleotide microRNA precursor is filed under the name Triticum aestivum (bread wheat). RNAcentral describes it as "MIR1435 microRNA precursor family". It matches the Rfam family "MIR1435 microRNA precursor family". RNAcentral also lists the same sequence under 1 other name. The record is from Rfam by way of RNAcentral. Lineage: Eukaryota; Viridiplantae; Streptophyta; Magnoliopsida; Poales; Poaceae.
UAGCUUUGUCCUAAGUCAAACUUUAUAAUGUUUGACCAAGCUUAUAAAAAAACAAUAUGAACAUUUACAUUAACAAAUAUAUAUGAUGUGAAAAUAUAUUCAAUGAUGAAUCUAACGGUACUAAUUUGGUAUUGUAGAUGUUAAUAAUUUUUCUAUAAACCUGGUCAAAACAAGGUUUGACUUGAGACAAAAGCUA